CGAUUACUGGCUCAGAACGAACGCUGGCGGCAUGCCUAACACAUGCAAGUCGAACGAUGGCUUCGGCCAUAGUGGCGCACGGGUGAGUAACGCGUGGGAAACUGCCCAUCAGUGGGGAAUAACAGUGGGAAACUGCUGCUAAUACCGCAUACGCCCUUCGGGGGAAAGAUUUAUCGCUGAUGGAUGUGCCCGCGUCCGAUUAGGUAGUUGGUGGGGUAAAGGCCUACCAAGCCGACGAUCGGUAGCUGGUCUGAGAGGAUGAUCAGCCACACUGGGACUGAGACACGGCCCAGACUCCUACGGGAGGCAGCAGUGGGGAAUAUUGGACAACGGGCGAAAGCCUGAAUCCAGCAAUGCCGCGUGAAUGAUGAAGGCCUUAGGGUUGUAAAGUUCUUUCGGGUGGGACGAUGAUGACGGUACCACCAGAAGAAGCCCCGGCUAACUUCGUGCCAGCCGCAGC
RNAcentral lists this ribosomal RNA (460 nucleotides) under uncultured bacterium. RNAcentral's name for it is "bacterial SSU rRNA". It matches the Rfam family "Bacterial small subunit ribosomal RNA", at positions 13 to 518 of the family's 1533-position model. The record is from RNAcentral.